RNAcentral lists this ribosomal RNA (451 nucleotides) under uncultured bacterium. RNAcentral's name for it is "partial 16S ribosomal RNA". It matches the Rfam family "Bacterial small subunit ribosomal RNA", at positions 354 to 796 of the family's 1533-position model. The record is from RNAcentral.
GUGGGGAAUAUUGCGCAAUGGGGGAAACCCUGACGCAGCGACGCCGUGUGAGGGAAGAAGGCUUUCGGGUCGUAAACCUCUGUCAGAAAGGAAGAACCUCCCAAGUCCGAAUAGGGCUUGGGACUGACGGUACUUUCAAAGGAAGCACCGGCUAACUCCGUGCCAGCAGCCGCGGUAAUACGGAGGGUGCAAGCGUUAAUCGGAAUCACUGGGCGUAAAGCGAGCGUAGGCCGCUUUGUAAGUCGGACGUGAAAGCCCUCGGCUCAACCGGGGAACUGCGUUCGAUACUGCGAGGCUUGAGUCCUGGAGAGGGUGGCGGAAUUCCGGGUGUAGGAGUGAAAUCCGUAGAUAUCCGGAGGAACACCGGUGGCGAAGGCGGCCACCUGGACAGGUACUGACGCUGAGGCGCGAAAGUGUGGGGAGCAAACAGGAUUAGAAACCCCAGUAGUCC